AUUGAACGCUGGCGGCAGGCCUAACACAUGCAAGUCGAACGGUAGCACAAAGGAACUUGCUCCUUGGGUGACGAGUGGCGGACGGGUGAGUAAUGUCUGGGAAACUGCCCGAUGGAGGGGGAUAACUACUGGAAACGGUAGCUAAUACCGCAUAACGUCUUCGGACCAAAGAGGGGGACCUUCGGGCCUCUUGCCAUCGGAUGUGCCCAGAUGGGAUUAGCUAGUAGGUGGGGUAACGGCUCACCUAGGCGACGAUCCCUAGCUGGUCUGAGGGGAUGACCAGCCACACGGGAACUGAGACACGGUCCAGACUCCUACGGGAGGCAGCAGUGGGGAAUAUUGCACAAUGGGCGCAAGCCUGAUGCAGCCAUGCCGCGUGUAUGAAGAAGGCCUUCGGGUUGUAAAGUACUUUCAGCGGGGAGGAAGGCGAUAAGGUUAAUAACCUUGUCGAUUGACGUUACCCGCAGAAGAAGCACCGGCUAACUCCGUGCCAGCCGCCGCCGUAA
This 506-nucleotide ribosomal RNA is filed under the name uncultured bacterium. RNAcentral's name for it is "partial 16S ribosomal RNA". It matches the Rfam family "Bacterial small subunit ribosomal RNA", at positions 30 to 523 of the family's 1533-position model. The record is from RNAcentral.